RNAcentral lists this unclassified non-coding RNA (7904 nucleotides) under Haliotis rufescens (red abalone). RNAcentral's name for it is "wASH complex subunit 4-like, transcript variant X1". Lineage: Eukaryota; Metazoa; Mollusca; Gastropoda; Lepetellida; Haliotidae. The record is from RNAcentral.
AUCCUGCAGCCCAGAGUAGCAAUUUUUUUAUUUAGCGACACGAGGAGUUAGAAGGAGGCGUGCCGGCGAAAAUGGCAGCCCCUGGAACAACUACAGCCGACUGGGAGUUUGACAAAUUUGAUGAUGGAUCUUUAAAAAUAGUUGGAGAACUACAGCUGAAGAAAUAUGGUAAUUUUCUUGAGGACUAUGCGUCACAGCUAAAGGAUAUUGAAGAUGCUUUGGACGACUCAAUAGGUGAUUCCUGGGACAUGACACUUGACCCUAUAGCUCUCCAGUUUCUGCCGUACGAACAAACCAGCUUGCUUCAGCUGAUUAGAACAGACAACAAGAUCUUCAACAAGAUCAUCACAGUUCUAGCUUCCUUGUGUUCUGAAAUGGACACCUUGAAACACGAAGCAGAGACCAAGUUCUUUAAUGCCUUGUUGUUCUAUGGGGAAGGAGAACCUGAGACAGGCCUAGAAGAUGGAGAUGCGCAGGUGCAGAUGGGGAAGGUCAUCCCAUUGCUUCAGGAGCUGCACUGUUUUGUAACACGUUCGUAUGAAGUCGUCAAGAAUGUGGUCCAGCAGUUUGCCAGCCUCUACAGCAAUACCAGGAGUGGGCCCAAACUGAUAGAUGUGACUGAUGUCCACUUUCAGGUUGUGUUUGCCCACCUGGCUGACAUGCUGGGCAUCCUCAUCACGCUGGAUGAGAUCAUCGAGAACCAUGCAAGUCUCAAGGAUCACUGGACACUCUACAAGAGAAUGGUGAAAUCUGUUCGUCACAAUCCCGCCAAGUUUAACACAACAGAUGAGAAGCUGCGGCCAUUUGAGAAACUCAUGAUGAUGCUUGAAGGCAGACUUCUCGAUGGCUUCAUCUUCCAGAACUGUGUGGAGCAGGUGUUUGAUGACCACCGUGUCAACGUCUCCAAGAACAGUGCAUUUGCCGAGGAGUUUGCCGUCAACAUCCGGGAUUAUGUCAUGGAGCUUGAGAGCAGGAUGGGUGAGGUGAACGAGAUAGAUCAGCGGUACAGAUUUGUGGGGGCCUGUGGUCUCUAUGUGCUCCAUUUCCAGAUAUUCCGAGUCUUGGACAAGAAGCUGUUUAAAGCCCUCUGGGAUAUCUACAAGAAGGUGCCCUGCAUCCAUCUGAUUGGCAACGUGGUGUGGUUUCCUAAUAACUUCCUCACAACCAAGAUGCCCAACCUCGCCCAGCUGUUGGACCGCAAGGCCCAGUCGGCCGUCGGCCCCUCCCAGACUGCCUGGCUCACGGCACGGACACAGAUGCUCACCAACAGACACAGGGACAUCCAGACGUACAGCACGCAGGUGUCGGCGUGGAUGGUCAGGAUGGAGUCGAACCUGUCCCGUGGGGCCACCCUCAUCGAGGACCUCAACAACAGAGCAGUUCUCUUCAUUCAGGGCCUGCUGUACGCCUAUAACCUGAGUCACCUUGUCAGGACUGUCAUGAACCUGCACGUAGCCCUACAGAAACCCAUGACCAAGACAGCAGUGCUCUCCCUUUGUCGACUCGUGGAGCUGCUGAAGGCUAUAGAACAUACGUUCCAUCGGCGCACAAUGCUGAUCGCGGAGUCCAUGAACCAUGUGAUUCAGCACCUCAGUUUCCUGGCUCUCAGUGCUAUCGGGACAGCCAAGAAAAGGAUCACCUCUGACAAGCGAUACAGUGAGAGGAGACUGGACGUCCUGUCAGCUCUCGUGCUCGCCGAGUCAGCCCUCAACGGACCAGGUACCAAAGAAAGGAGACUGAUUGCUAAACUGGCCCUUGCUGUGGGCACAAAGAUGAAAUCCUUCAAGGAUGAUGAGAUGAAUGGUUUGUCGGAGACAAUGAGGAAACUGGAAGUCAUCAGUGAAUUGAGAGAAAAAUUACGGGGAGCGUGUGACUGCAGCUUCAUCUACUGGCACAGAGUCAUCUUCCCGCUGUACCUCACGGAUGUGUGUGACAAUGUCACCGACACACACCGGAUACACUACAUGUUCGGAGCUAUGCGGGACUGUGUGUUGCCGAUGCAGAAAGUCCGUCACCUCAAUUCACCUCAAGACCUCCUGGACUCGUUUGACAAGGAGGUGACACUGCAGGUUCAGGAGCAUCUGAUUGACCCUCUAUGUCGUGCCAUCGAGACUGACCUCCGACUGCAGAUUCACCUUCACCUUCAGCUCGAUGAUCGCAACCCGUUCAAAGUCGGGAUGAAGGACCUGUCGCAUCUCCUCAAGAUCAGACCCAUCCGCUUCUUCCAGAGGGACAUCAACAUCAAAGCAACUGUGGAGCACUACCUGAACAGAACCUUCUACAACCUGACGACUGUGGCACUCCACGACUGGAAGACAUACGGCGAGAUGCGCAACAUGGCCGAACAAAAGUAUAACUUGUCCUUGAUGGAGUCUCAUCUCCCCAGUCAGACUCUAGAACAGGGUCUAGAUGUGCUUGAAAUCAUGAGGAACAUCCAUGUGUUUGUGUCCAAGUAUCUCUACAAUCUCAACAACCAGAUAUUUGUGGAGAGGACAAGCAACAACAAACAUCUGAACACCAUCAACAUCCGGCACAUAGCCAACUCUAUACGGACACAUGGCAUUGGCAUCAUGAACACUACUGUCAAUUUCACGUACCAGUUCCUUCGCAAGAAAUUCUUCAUCUUCUCUCAGUUCAUGUAUGAUGAACACAUUAAAUCCAGACUGAUCAAAGACUGGAAGUUUUUCAAGGAAAAUCAUAUGCAGACUGAUCAAAAGUACCCAUUUGAGCGAGCAGACAAGUUCAACAAGGGAAUCCGGAAGUUGGGCCUGACACCUGAUGGAGAGAGUUACCUAGACCAGUUCCGCACCCUCAUCACACAGAUAGGCAAUGCUAUGGGCUACAUCAGGAUGAUCCGUUCUGGGGGCCUGCAUUGCUGCAGCAACGCCAUCAGGUUCAUCCCUGACAUCGAGGACAUCGUCAACUUCGAGGAGCUGUGUAAGGAGGAAGGCCUGUCUGCUGAGUGCCAGGCAGCAGCCAAGAACUUGGACAAUGUGAUUGGGAACCUUGCCAAGAACUUUGCUGAAGGAACUGAGUACUUCAAGAUGCUGGUGGACGUGUUUGCUCCAGAGUUCCGGAACACAAAGAACAUGCAUCUGAGGAACUUCUUCGUGAUUCUGCCCCCACUGACUGUGAACUUUGUGGAGCACUCCAUCAGCUGCAAGGAGAAGAUGAACAGGAAGAACAAGGACAUGGCGGCCUUCACGGACGACGGCUUCGCCAUGGGUGUUGCCUAUAUCCUGAAGCUGUUGGACCAGUAUCAUGAGUUUGACUCCCUCCACUGGUUCCAGUCCGUCAGAGAUAAACACCUCACGGAGAAGAGGCAGGUGUCGCAGCAGACAGGCAGCCGUGGUGACGAGAAGCUGCAGCAGACCAUGAGUCUAACGGUCAAGAGACUGGACCAGUCCCUUCAGGAGUUUGACCUGCUCCACUACUCACUCAGCAGCGCACGGAUCUUUUUCCGUGCCGAUCUGACGGCUGCCGAGGAGAAGGCGGAGAAAGACAAAGCUGGACCCGACACACCGUCAGCCAAUGGAGACGGGGCGAGUGGUUCAGCCAAUCAGACGUCAGCAUCUGCCUCUUCAGCUUCAUGAUACUGAUGGAAGGUAAGAGUUGCUCUCUCUCUGCAUGACUGUAACCAUGACUUUCUCUCUGUGGUGAGAGACUCUCUCAUGACUUUCUCUCUGUGGUGAGAGACUCUUUCAUGACUUUCUCUCUGUGGUGAGAGACUCUCUCAUGACUUUCUCUCUGUGGUGAGAGACUCUCUCAUGACUUUCUCUUUGUGGUGUGAGACUUUCUCAUGACUUUCUCUUUGUGGUGUGACACUCUCUCAUGACUCUCUGUGGUGUGAGACUCUCUCAUGACUUUCUCUCUGUGGUGUGAGACUCUCUCAUGACUUUCUCUUUGUGGUGUGACACUCUCUCAUGACUCUCUGUGGUGAGAGACUCUCUCAUGACUUUCUCUCUGCUUUGUGGGGUGAGACUGUGUCUAUGAAAGAUGUCUGUGAUUGACAAUUGCUCGCUGUGCAGUUUUUUCAUAACAACUCACUAGCUGUAAAAAUGUAGGGCUUUAGUUGGCUGUAUGUUAACAUAGGGCUUGUGUCUUCUGAACACCACUGGAGGGCUGUAUGCUAACAUUGGGCUUGUGUCUUCUGAACACCACUGGAGGGCUUUAUGCUAACAUAGGGCUUGUGUCUUCUGAACACCACUGGAGGGUUGUAUGCUAACAUAGGGCUUGUGUCUUCUGAACACCACUGGAGGGCUUUAUGCUAACAUAGGGCUUGUGUCUUCUGAACAUCACUGGAGGGCUGUAUGCUAACAUAGGGCUUGUGUCUUCUGAACAUCACUGGAGGGCUGUAUGCUAACAUAGGGCUUGUGUCUUCUGAACAUCACUGGAGGGCUGUAUGCUAACAUAGGGCUUGUGUCUUCGGAACACCACUGGAGGGUUUUAUGCUAACAUAGGGCUUGUGUCUUCUGAACAUCACUGGAGGGCUGUAUGGUAACAUAGGGCUUGUGUCUUCUGAACACCAAUGGAGGGUUGUAUGGUAACAUAGGGCUUGUGUCUUCUGAACACCACUGGAGGGCUGUAUGCUAACAUAGGGAUUGUGUCUUCUGAACACCACUGGAGGGUUGUAUGCUAACAUAGGGCUUGUGUCUUCUGAACACCAAUGGAGGGCUGUAUGCUAACAUUGGGCGUGUGUCUUCUGAACACCACUGGAGGGCUGUAUGCUAACAUAGGGCUUGUGUCUUCUGAACACCACUGGAGGGCUGUAUGCUAACAUUGGUUGUGUGUCGUCUGAACACCAAUGGAGGGCUGUAUGCUAACAUAGGGCUUGUGUCUUCUGAACACCACUGGAGGGUUGUAUGCUAACAUAGGGCUUGUGUCUUCUGAACACCACUGGAGGGCUUUAUGCUAACAUAGGGCUUGUGUCUUCUGAACAUCACUGGAGGGCUGUAUGCUAACAUAGGGCUUGUGUCUUCUGAACAUCACUGGAGGGCUUUAUGCUAACAUAGGGCUUGUGUCUUCUGAACAUCACUGGAGGGCUUUAUGCUAACAUAGGGCUUGUGUCUUCUGAACAUCACUGGAGGGUUGUAUGCUAACAUAGGGCUUGUGUCUUCUGAACAUCACUGGAGGGAUGUAUGCUAACAUAGGGCUUGUGUCUUCUGAACAUCACUGGAGGGCUUUAUGCUAACAUAGGGCUUGUGUCUUCUGAACAUCACUGGAGGGCUUUAUGCUAACAUAGGGCUUGUGUCUUCUGAACAUCACUGGAGGGCUUUAUGUUAACAUAGGGCUUGUGUCUUCUGAACAUCACUGGAGGGCUUUAUACUAACAUAGGGCUUCUGUCUUCUGAACACCACUGGAGGGCUUUAUGCUAACAUAGGGCUUGUGUCUUCUGAACAUCACUGGAGGGCUGUAUGCUAACAUAGGGCUUGUGUCUUCGGAACACCACUGGAGGGUUUUAUGCUAACAUAGGGCUUGUGUCUUCUGAACAUCACUGAAGGGCUGUAUGCUAACAUAGGGCUUGUGUCUUCUGAACACCGCUGGAGGGUUGUAUGCUAACAUAGGGCUUGUGUCUUCUGAACACCACUGGAGGGUUGUAUGCUAACAUUGGUUGUGUGUCUUCUGAACGUCACUGGAGGGCUGUAUGCUAACAUAGGGCUUGUGUCUUCGGAACACCACUGGAGGGUUUUAUGCUAACAUAGGGCUUGUGUCUUCUGAACAUCACUGAAGGGCUGUAUGCUAACAUAGGGCUUGUGUCUUCUGAACACCACUGGAGGGUUGUAUGCUAACAUAGGGCUUGUGUCUUCUGAAUACCAAUGGAGGGCUGUAUGCUAACAUAGGGCUUGUGUCUUCUGAAUACCAAUGGAGGGCUUUAUGCUAACAUAGGGCUUGUGUCUUCUGAAUACCACUGGAGGGCUGUAUGCUAACAUAGGGCUUGUGUCUUCUGAAUACCACUGGAGGGCUGUAUGCUAAUAUGGGGCUUGUGUCUUCUGAACACCACUGGAGGGCUUUAUGCUAACAUAGGGCUUGUGUCUUCGGAACACCAAUGGAGGGCUGUAUGCUAACAUUGGUUGUGUGUCGUCUGAACACCAAUGGAGGGCUGUAUGGUAACAUAGGGCUUGUGUCUUCUAAACACCAAUGGAGGGCUGUAUGGUAACAUAGGGCUUGUGUCUUCUGAACAUCACUGGAGGGCUUUAUGCUAACAUAGGGCUUGUGUCUUCUGAACAUCACUGGAGGGCUGUAUGCUAACAUAGGGCUUGUGUCUUCUGAACACCACUGGAGGGCUGUAUGGUAACAUAGGGCUUGUGUCGUCUGAACACCACUGGAGGGCUGUAUGGUAACAUAGGGCUUGUGUCUUCUGAACACCACUGGAGGGCUGUAUGCUAACAUAGGGCUUGUGUCUUCUGAACACCACUGGAGGGCUGUAUGGUAACAUAGGGCUUGUGUCUUCUGAACACCACUGGAGGGCUGUAUGCUAACAUAGGGCUUGUGUCUUCUGAACACCACUGGAGGGCUGUAUGGUAACAUAGGGCUUGUGUCGUCUGAACACCAAUGGAGGGCUGUAUGGUAACAUAGGGCUUGUGUCUUCUGAACACCACUGGAGGGCUGUUAGCUAACAUAGGGCUUGUGUCUUCUGAACACCACUGGAGGGCUGUAUGCUAACAUUGGUUGUGUGUCUUCUGAACACCAAUGGAGGGCUGUAUGCUAACAUUGGUUGUGUCUUCUAAACACCAAUGGAGGGCUGUAUGCUAACAUAGGGCUUGUGUCUUUUGAACACCACUGGAGGGCUUUAUGCUAACAUUGGUUGUGUGUCUUCUGAACACCACUGGAGGGCUGUAUGCUAACAUAGGGCUUGUGUCUUCUGAACACCACUGGAGGGUUGUAUGCUAACAUUGGUUGUGUGUCUUCUGAACACCACUGGAGGGUUGUAUGCUAACAUAGGGCUUGUGUCUUCUGAACACCACUGGAGGGCUGUAUGCUAACAUAGGGCUUGUGUCUUCGGAAUACCACUGGAGGGCUUUAUGCUAACAUAGGGCUUGUGUCUUCUGAAUACCACUGGAGGGCUGUAUGCUAACAUAGGGCUUGUGUCUUCUGAAUAUCACUGGAGGGUUGUAUGCUAAUAUGGGGCUUGUGUCUUCUGAACACCACUGGAGGGCUUUAUGCUAACAUUAUGCUUGUGUCUUCAGAACACCAAUGGAGGGCUGUAUGCUAACAUUGGUUGUGUGUCUUCUGAACACCAAUGGAGGGCUGUAUGGUACCAUAGGGCUUGUGUCUUCUAAACACCAAUGGAGGGCUGUAUGGUAACAUAGGGCUUGUGUCUUCUGAACACCACUGGAGGGCUGUAUGCUAACAUAGGGCUUGUGUCUUCUGAACACCACUGGAGGGUUGUAUGCUAACAUUGGUUGUGUGUCUUCUGAACACCACUGGAGGGUUGUAUGCUAACAUAGGGCUUGUGUCUUUUGAACACCACUGGACGGUUGUAUGCUAACAUAGGGCUUGUGUCUUCUGAACGCCAAUGGAGAGCUGUAUGCUAACAUAGGGCUUGUGUCUUCUGAACACCACUGGAGGGUUGUAUGCUAACAUAGGGCUUGUGUCUUCUGAACACCACUGGAGGGCCGUAUGCUAACAUAGGGCUUGUGUCUUCAGAACACCAAUGGAGGGCUGUAUGCUAACAUUGGUUGUGUGUCGUCUGAACACCAAUGGAGGGCUUUAUGCUAACAUAGGGCUUGUGUCUUCUGAACACCAAUGGAGGGCUGUAUGCUAACAUUGGUUGUGUGUCUUCUGAACACCAAUGAAGGGUUGUAUGCUAACAUAGGGCUUGUGUCUUCUGAACACCAAUGGAGGGCUGUAUGGUAACAUAGGGCUUAUGUCUUCUGAACACCACUGGAGGGCUGUAUGCUAAC